Long non-coding RNA from Strongylocentrotus purpuratus (purple sea urchin), 328 nucleotides. RefSeq lists it as uncharacterized. The transcript has 3 exons. The record is from RefSeq and is a predicted model, not a curated record. Lineage: Eukaryota; Metazoa; Echinodermata; Echinoidea; Camarodonta; Strongylocentrotidae.
ACGAGUGCGCCAGCAACCCUUGUCGUAAUGGAGGAACAUGUACUGAUGACGUCAACCGUUAUCUGUGCCAGUGCAUGGCCGGAUGGGCAGGAGUCAACUGUCUAAUAAACUUGAAUGAAUGUUUGAGUCAACCUUGUCUACACGAUGGGAUUUGCUUGGACGGAAUAAACAGUUACACAUGUCAGUGUACAGAUGGAUGGGCAGGCACCAAUUGUGGAGUUGACAUCGAUGAAUGUGCUGAUGAACCGUGUGAAAAUGGUGGAGUCUGUGUGGACGGGUUGAACAGCUAUACAUGUACAUGCAUUGAAGGAUGGGAAGGGUCAACAUG